This 422-nucleotide ribosomal RNA is filed under the name uncultured archaeon. Its description in RNAcentral is "bacterial SSU rRNA". It matches the Rfam family "Archaeal small subunit ribosomal RNA", at positions 322 to 746 of the family's 1478-position model. The record is from RNAcentral. RNAcentral also lists the same sequence under 1 other name.
CCUACGGGGGGCAGCAGUCGCGAAAACUUCGCAAUGGGGGCAACCCCGACGAGGGAAUUCCCAGUGCCAGCACUUUGUGUUAGCUGUUCUCUUGUCUACAAAACAAGAGGAGUAAGGGGCGGGUAAGACGGGUGCCAGCCGCCGCGGUAAUACCCGCGCCCCAAGUGGUGGUCGAUAUUAUUGAGCCUAAAACGUCCGUAGCCGGUCUUUUAAAUCCUUGGGUAAAUCGGGCAGCUUAACUGUCCGACUUCCGAGGAGACUGGAAGACUUGGGACCGGGAGAGGUCAGAGGUACUUCUGGGGUAGGGGUAAAAUCCUGUAAUCCUGGAAGGACCACCGGUGGCGAAGGCGUCUGACUAGAACGGAUCCGACGGUGAGGGACGAAGCCCUGGGGCGCAAACGGGAUUAGAUACCCGGGUAGUC